This is a non-coding RNA of Pelobates cultripes (western spadefoot toad), 293 nucleotides long. The record is from the annotation of a GenBank genome assembly. Lineage: Eukaryota; Metazoa; Chordata; Amphibia; Anura; Pelobatidae.
GCGAAACGCAUUUUGGACUUACAUAGUCUACAUAUUGGACUUUUAAUUGGACUUUUUUUGUCUAUAUUUUUAAUUCUCAUUGGGAAUAUUUAUUUCCAUACUUUUUGAUAUUCACUGUUAUUUCACAAUAAAGUUCCCUCAUUGGAAACACAUUGGAAUAUUGUGAUCUUCUACCCAAGGAGGAAUACCAAGAGGAAUGGGGACAUCCAAAUAAAAGUCCCACUGCGCUGCACAUAAGAGCCAUAUGUCUAAAUUGGCUCUAGGCUUGUGAGUAAUACUGCUCUAUCUCUACU